UUAGGACCCUAGUUUUUUGUGACAUCGCCACCUGCCGGAUUAGAUCAUAGACGCUCUAAUAAGAUGGACGACAUGGAUGGCAAGAAUAAUAAAUCUUGCACAACAAAUUGAUCCUGGAAACUGGACUGAGAAGACUGGGCAUGAUGUUGCUGGCUUGCCACGCCAGAGCUGUGGUAAUGAAUGUGGGGUUUUUAUGCUUAUGUAUACCCUUUGCUCUGUGACCGGUGUGGCAAUUGAAUUCCAGGAGAAAAUGGACACAUCAUGAAUUAUAAGACUUCAAAAUAGAAGGCGGUUUGCCUUCUGGACCGAUGAGGCCAGAAACUUGCUCAAAGGAAAACUUCAGCCAGUGUACAGGGUGCCAAAAAAGUGUGCCAUCUCUGAGGAAAUCCCACUUCACAUUCAGGCUG
Danio aesculapii is the source of this 407-nucleotide long non-coding RNA. RefSeq lists it as uncharacterized. Lineage: Eukaryota; Metazoa; Chordata; Actinopteri; Cypriniformes; Danionidae. The transcript is spliced from 6 exons. The record is from RefSeq and is a predicted model, not a curated record.